Molecule: ribosomal RNA, 403 nt
Filed under: Fusobacteriota bacterium
Lineage: Bacteria; Fusobacteriati; Fusobacteriota
Description: Fusobacteria bacterium partial 16S ribosomal RNA
Rfam family: Bacterial small subunit ribosomal RNA
Source: RNAcentral
UGGGGAAUAUUGCACAAUGGGGGAAACCCUGAUGCAGCGACGCCGCGUGAGCGAAGAAGGUUUUCGAAUCGUAAAGCUCUGUCCUAUGGGAAGAUAAUGACGGUACCAUAGGAGGAAGCCCCGGCUAACUACGUGCCAGCAGCCGCGGUAAUACGUAGGGGGCAAGCGUUGUCCGGAAUCACUGGGCGUAAAGGGUUCGCAGGCGGGAAUGCAAGUCAGUUGUGAAAGGCAGAGGCUCAACCUCUGUAAGCAAUUGAAACUGUAUUUCUUGAGAUGUGGAGAGGCAAGUGGAAUUCCUAGUGUAGCGGUGAAAUGCGUAGAUAUUAGGAAGAAUACCGGUGGCGAAGGCGACUUGCUGGACACAAACUGACGCUGAGGAACGAAAGCGUGGGUAGCAAACAGG